Molecule: ribosomal RNA, 254 nt
Filed under: uncultured bacterium
Lineage: Bacteria
Description: partial 16S ribosomal RNA
Rfam family: Bacterial small subunit ribosomal RNA
Source: RNAcentral
UACAGAGGGGGCAAGCGUUGUUCGGAAUUACUGGGCGUAAAGGGCGCGUAGGCGGCCUUCUAAGUCAGACGUGAAAUCCCUCGGCUUAACCGGGGAACUGCGUCUGAUACUGGAUGGCUUGAGUUUGGGAGAGGGAUGCGGAAUUCCAGGUGUAGCGGUGAAAUGCGUAGAUAUCUGGAGGAACACCGGUGGCGAAGGCGGCAUCCUGGACCAACACUGACGCUGAGUGAGCGAAAGCCAGGGGAGCAAACGGG